This 253-nucleotide ribosomal RNA is filed under the name uncultured bacterium. RNAcentral describes it as "partial 16S ribosomal RNA". It matches the Rfam family "Bacterial small subunit ribosomal RNA", at positions 524 to 776 of the family's 1533-position model. The record is from RNAcentral.
UACGGGGGGGGCAAGCGUUGUUCGGAAUUACUGGGCGUAAAGGGCUCGUAGGCGGCCAACUAAGUCCGACGUGAAAUCCCCAGGCUUAACCUGGGAACUGCGUCGGAUACUGGAUGGCUUGAAUUCGGGAGAGGGAUGCAGAAUUCCAGGUGUAGCGGUGAAAUGCGCAGAUAUCAGGAGGAACACCGGUGGCGAAGGCGGUUCUCUGGGCAUGUCCUGACGCUGAGGAGCGAAAGUGUGGGGAGCGAACAGG